Molecule: long non-coding RNA, 373 nt
Filed under: Gallus gallus (chicken)
Lineage: Eukaryota; Metazoa; Chordata; Aves; Galliformes; Phasianidae
Source: RNAcentral
CUUCUCCAGUCUCUCGAUCAUCUUUGUGGCCACUCAGUAGACUCCCUUCAGUAAUUUUGGGAAAGGACUCUCUUGUACCAGAAGCAAGUGCUGGACUCAGCACUGCAGAUACAGUGCUGAGCAGAAAGAAAGGAUCAGUCUCUAAUCUGCAGCCCAGGAUUCCAUUGGCUUUCAUCUAGGGUGGAAGACACUGUGAUUCAAGUCCUUCCUGAUUCAAUGCACAAACCUGAAUUUCCACUCCACUUUUCCCAGAUGGCUACUCUAGCUACUGUAUUGUUCAGACUUUUUGUAUGAAGGAUUUGAGGGCUGCCUCUUGAUCCAUCCUGAAGAACACAUUCUUCUUAGGAAACACUGUAAGUUUGACUUGCUCCAC